RNAcentral lists this transfer RNA (72 nucleotides) under Halocynthia hilgendorfi ssp. n. KRK-2020. Its description in RNAcentral is "tRNA-Lys". Lineage: Eukaryota; Metazoa; Chordata; Ascidiacea; Stolidobranchia; Pyuridae. The record is from RNAcentral.
UGGGAAUAAGCUUUUGAGUUGAAGUGUUAAAUUUUUGAUUUAGUGAAGCAUUUAUGAUGUGUGCAUUCCUAA